GGGGGCGACUGGUUUCGACAUGGUAGGUUUGAACCGAGGAGCAGGUCGUGGUCUCCUCGCCACGUUAAACAGGGGUACCGUCAAUUUAAUUGGCAAAAAGAUUUCUUUCGUGCGUCCUGCUCAGCAGUACGCACUCGCCGCUUAAUUUAAAGCUGGCGCGCCAAGGCAGAGUUCACUUUCCGGCUUUGCUGCGGUGUCAUUUCAGGAAGGUGCUCCCAAGCACGUAAUCGGUAUGGCUUGGGCUAAGACGGAACCGGUUGGGCUGCGCGCCGCACGGCGACGGGUUACGGGCAGUCGAGAUUCUUCCGCCGCAUAAGCUUGUAGAGCCUGGGGGAUUGCUUAGUAUGGACCGGAGUUCGAUUCUCCGCGCCUCCACCA
This 378-nucleotide transfer-messenger RNA is filed under the name Eggerthellaceae. RNAcentral's name for it is "RUG013 sp001486445 Standard tmRNA". It matches the Rfam family "transfer-messenger RNA". Rfam says of the family: Bacterial tmRNA, also known as 10Sa RNA or SsrA, is named for its dual tRNA and mRNA-like properties. Its role is to liberate the mRNA from a stalled ribosome. RNAcentral also lists the same sequence under 1 other name. Lineage: Bacteria; Bacillati; Actinomycetota; Coriobacteriia; Eggerthellales. The record is from RNAcentral.